UACAGCGGGUGCAAGCGUUGUUCGGAAUUAUUGGGCGUAAAGCGCGUGUAGGCGGCCCCCUAAGUCUGAUGUGAAAGCCCGGGGCUCAACCCCGGAAGUGCACUUGAAACUAAGAGACUUGAGUAUGGGAGAGGGAAGUGGAAUUCCUGGUGUAGCGGUGAAAUGCGUAGAUAUCAGGAGGAACACCGGUGGCGAUGGCGACUUCCUGGACCGAUACUGACGCUGAGGUGCGAAGGCGUGGGGAGCAAACAGG
Molecule: ribosomal RNA, 253 nt
Filed under: uncultured bacterium
Lineage: Bacteria
Description: partial 16S ribosomal RNA
Rfam family: Bacterial small subunit ribosomal RNA
Source: RNAcentral